CCCUAAGUAGUGCAAAUGUUUAACACAGUCAGCUGCUAACUGAAAAGUUGGUGGUUCAAGACCACUCAGAGGCA
This 74-nucleotide transfer RNA is filed under the name Loxodonta africana (African savanna elephant). It matches the Rfam family "tRNA". From Rfam's summary of the family: Transfer RNA (tRNA) molecules are approximately 80 nucleotides in length. Their secondary structure includes four short double-helical elements and three loops (D, anti-codon, and T loops). Lineage: Eukaryota; Metazoa; Chordata; Mammalia; Proboscidea; Elephantidae. The record is from Rfam by way of RNAcentral.